Coniochaeta sp. PMI_546 is the source of this 115-nucleotide non-coding RNA. The record is from the annotation of a GenBank genome assembly. Lineage: Eukaryota; Fungi; Ascomycota; Sordariomycetes; Coniochaetales; Coniochaetaceae.
GGGGUUGUAGCUCAUCUGGUAGAGCGCGUGCUUAGCAUACCGUAGAUAACUGCUCGUAUGAUCAUUGGUACUAUCCUCAUGCACGGGGUACCGGGUUUGACUCCCAGCUUCUCCA